This is an RNA transcript of Betta splendens (Siamese fighting fish), 1927 nucleotides long. It is a transcript of the gene named ADP ribosylation factor like GTPase 3, like 1, with no coding region annotated. NCBI's taxonomy places the organism in Eukaryota, Metazoa, Chordata, Actinopteri, Anabantiformes, Osphronemidae. The record is from RefSeq and is a predicted model, not a curated record. The transcript is spliced from 9 exons.
AGUGUUUAUGAUUGGUACCGUCGAGCUUUUUUCAAUGCAAACACUACUGGGUUAGGCAAAGCAGAACAGGACACAACUGUACGAGCAGACGACACCACAGACGAUGGAUGUGAAAACAAUAUCAUCUGUAGGUCUUUUGCUUUGUCAUCUUCUUAUAGCCGGUGUUUGCCUUGAUUGUGCUUCUGAUGAUCUGUGUGCAUUGUGCCUAAAACCAGAUCCAUCGUGUCCACAAGUUUGUGUAUCGUGCUUAAAUUUAGCUGUUUCCAUUACAGCUUUUCUAGCAUCUGUUCCAUCAAGCUGCAGAAAAGAAUUCUCUGUGAAUAUCACCAGCUCCAAUUCAAACCCGAAGGAGGGUGACAGCGUCAAUUUAACGUGUGUCAAUAACCUUCCUGAUAAAGAUCUGUCGUUCAGAUGGAGCAAGGAUGGAGUAAAGAAAGGUGGAAACAACAGCAACCUUGUUCUCAAUAAUGUGCUUUCAUCUGCUACUGGCUCGUACAACUGCUCUGUGGACAGCGUGUGUGGCAGUUAUUCUGCCCAGUACUCUCUCACUGUGCCCAACAACAGCGUGAUCAUCCUGGUGGUCUGUGGAGUUGCAGCUUUGGUUCUGGUUCUGAUUAUGGGUCUGGCCAUGAAGUUCAAACUGAAAAGAGACAACGCUAAACACAGAGAGAGGAGGAAGCAGAGGGAACAGAUUGGGCAAAGCGGCGGCCAAGCGCCAUUCACAAUACGACAGACCUAAAUAAGAAGCAAUCACAUCUACAGUUACUUCGUAAUAACAGAGUUGCAUAAUCAGCUGUCAUAGUAUUUGCAAUAGGAAUAAAAUGUCAUUAAUCGCUGCAUUCUGGAGUAAUUGUGUGCUGAUCGGAUGGAGUCACAGUACAGGCUUAUGAAGCGGACUCCUCCACACCAGGGUGGAGCCGUUGUGUAACACAGCCUCAUAACUGCACUCGCUGGCUGACCAGCGAUCAGUUCAGGAAAAGGGCCUGGACAUGUUUUAAUCCAGACGGGGGGCAAAAGCGCUCCAACUAAUCCCGCUGAACGCUGCACAGAGCAGCCUUGUAGCAGCUGCCAUGUAACGGAUAUGUGGGAUGAUAAUGCUUCCCAUUGAACUCUGAGAGACGGAGAGACAUGGGAUCUGGCAGACCUUCAUGACACAGACAUGCCAAACAACACAAUGUAAAUCCUCUCAAGUUUCUGUGCUAAGAUUAGUGAGAAUUGUCAAUAAUUGUCAGCACGUCCCCCUUUGACACAUGGCAGCAUUUCUGAUCUUGAUUCCCCUCCCAGCGUAACAUUAAUAAUAUCAAUGUGCGUGAAUGUGUGAGGGGCUUUUAUUUUGUAGUAGCUUCCUCGUGUAGCAGGUGGCUCAGGGAUAAUCCAGGUAAAGCCACUGCAAAGUGGAGAUGGGGAGAUGAGCAAAGGAGGGGGGGGGGCCUUUGCAUGGAUGACUGGGGCUAAUUCUGGCCUCCUAAUCCCAGUCCCAUGCACCCUCCCCCUCUUCCUUCCUGGCUAAUUUCACGGCGACACCGACGACCAAUUGACGCCUAGGUAGACGUUACGAUCACAUGCACACGUAGCACUUGACCCGACCACGUUUACAGAGGAAGCCGAGGGAAAACACAAAGGCCAGGGCGCAUUUGGCGGAUCCCUAGAACUCAUGCAGGUCGGUGCGCGUGACCGGAGAAUGUAGCUGCAGCGUUUCCCAGCCAAGCCACAGGAAACAAGCCACCAUGGGAGAAGCUCAAAAGGUGAGUUCCUUGAUCUGGAAGAGCAGGACUCGAUAAAACAAAGGGGCUUGCUCUCUGUCAUUGAGAAGCUGAAGGGAUCCACGGAGCAGGAGGUCAGGAUAGUGCUGCUGGGGCUGGACAACGCCGGGAAGACCACGCUGCUGAAGAGCCUGGCCUCGGAGGACGUCAACACCAUCACGCCC